AAUCAACGCUGGCGGCGUGCCUAACACAUGCAAGUCGAACGAGAAAGUGGAGCAAUCCAUGAGUAAAGUGGCGACCGGGUGAGUAACACGUGACUAACCUACCUUCAAGUGGGGGAUAACCUCGGGAAACCGGGGCUAAUACCGCAUAAUAUCUUUGGGAUGGAAAUGCUGAAGAUCAAAGGAGCAAUUCGCUGGAAGAGGGGGUCGCGGCUGAUUAGCUAGUUGGCGGGGUAAUGGCCCACCAAGGCUUUGAUCGGUAGCCGGCCUGAGAGGGCGCACGGCCACACUGGAACUGAAACACGGGUCCAGACUCCUACGGGAGGCAGCAGUGGGGAAUUUUUGCGCAAUGGGGGAAACCCUGACGCAGCAACGCCGCGUGGAGGAUGAAGUCCCUUGGGACGUAAACUCC
Molecule: ribosomal RNA, 409 nt
Filed under: uncultured bacterium
Lineage: Bacteria
Description: bacterial SSU rRNA
Rfam family: Bacterial small subunit ribosomal RNA
Source: RNAcentral